Long non-coding RNA from Electrophorus electricus (electric eel), 449 nucleotides. RefSeq lists it as uncharacterized. Lineage: Eukaryota; Metazoa; Chordata; Actinopteri; Gymnotiformes; Gymnotidae. The record is from RefSeq and is a predicted model, not a curated record.
GUUUCCGCGUCCACGCCAGGUUUUGCGUUUCAGUGUGACCCGGUCCGGUACGACUCUGUAAUGGGAAAUCUCCAAACGGAAAUAUCUGCAAAUGGGAAUAUCUCCAACGGGAAUAUCUCCGAAUGGGAAUAUGCUGGAGUGGCCAGGGAGACCCCGUUGUCAGGCUGAUCAUUCCCGAAGAAGAUGCGGAGUGGCGUGGUGUUCCUGCCUCAGGCCCCGGCCUCCACACGCCACACACCUCAUCAUUCAGCCACUCCUAAUUAAACAAGAGUGAUGUGUGCUUUGUGUUUACCUCCAGACCAGCUCCAAGAACGGGGCUCACACACUUUUAGAAAACUGGAUUCUUGAAGUAAAGCCAUUUUGUAGGUUUUGAAACAUUCUACUACAACACACAACUUUUUAUGACCAGUUGUGUGUUAAAUGCUUCUAACAGCAGGCCUGGGAACAGA